Molecule: ribosomal RNA, 1101 nt
Filed under: uncultured bacterium
Lineage: Bacteria
Description: bacterial SSU rRNA
Rfam family: Bacterial small subunit ribosomal RNA
Source: RNAcentral
UCAGAGAGAGAUCCCAUGAUGACGUCAUCACACCAUGAAUGCAUGCUAGUGCACGCAAUGGUCGAUGAGCUAGAUACGUUUUGGAUAUAGACUGGUCUUGCAUACUCGAUAAGACGCUAUCGACACAGCGGUAUCGAAGUCAGCGUAUCCGGAUAUGCUCAGGGAGGUAGCGUCGUAAGCGUGUGUGAAUAGUGCUCACAUUACUUGCAGCGCGAACUGGCGGACUUGAGUGCACGCACGUAUGCGAUCAUGUGUAGCGGUGAAUGCUUAGAUAUCAUGACGACUCGAUUGCGAAGCAGCGUACGGGAGUGUACUGACGCUUAAGCUCGAAGGUGCGGGUAUCGAACAGGAUUAGAUACCUUGGUAGUCCGCACGGUAAACGAUGGAUGCCCGCUGUUAGCGCUGGCGUUAGCGGCUAAGCGAAAGCAUUAAGCAUCCCACUUGGGGAGUACGCCGGCAACGGUGAAACUCAAAGGAAUUGACGGGGGCCCGCACAAGCGGAGGAACAUGUGGUUUAAUUCGAUGAUACGCGAGGAACCUUACCCGGGCUUGAAUUGCAGACGCAGGAUACAGAGAUGUUGACUCCCUUCGGGGCGUCUGUGAAGGUGCUGCAUGGUUGUCGUCAGCUCGUGCCGUGAGGUGUCGGCUUAAGUGCCAUAACGAGCGCAGCCCCUUUCCUUAGUUGCCAUCAGGUGAUGCUGGGCACUCUGGGGAUACUGCCACCGCAAGGUGUGAGGAAGGUGGGGAUGACGUCAAAUCAGCACGGCCCUUACGUCCGGGGCUACACACGUGUUACAAUGGCCGGUACAGAGGGACGGUGCAAUGCAAAUUGCAUCCAAUCUUGAAAGCCGGUCCCAGUUCGGACUGAGGUCUGCAACCCGACCUCACGAAGCUGGAUUCGCUAGUAAUCGCGCAUCAGCCAUGGCGCGGUGAAUACGUUCCCGGGCCUUGUACACACCGCCCGUCACACCAUGGGAGUGGGUUGUACCAGAAGUAGAUAGCUUAACCACAAGGGGGGCGUUUACCACGGUAUGAUUCAUGACUGGGGUGAAGUCGUAACAAGGUAACCGUAGGGGAACCUGCGGCUGGAACACCUCCUUC